UUUGCAAUUUUUAUCUUGAUACUACAAUUGUUUCUUUAUGUUACAUUUUGUCUUCCAAUAAUGAUAAGAUGUCCCACUCCUCUCUUCACCGAUAUCCUUGCAUCUUGUCUUCUUCUAUCGGGUGCUUCGGGUUUCUCCUUAAUUAUAAGCCUUAUUUGAGGUACUUGUUGGAGUUUCUAACAAAAAAAUUUAAGAUUUUUUUGAUGUACACGCUCUCCUAAAUAUUAAAAUCUAUAUGAAAACUAUUUCAAAAUUAAUAGUUAUAUAUAUAUAAUCAUAAAAUAUUUAUUUUAUAUGUAUAUCCUUUUAUUCUUCUUUUUUCUUUCCAUAUGUAUCCAUACCAUC
RNAcentral lists this long non-coding RNA (345 nucleotides) under Elaeis guineensis (African oil palm). RNAcentral describes it as "long non-coding RNA (EGUI_LNC075815)". The record is from RNAcentral. Lineage: Eukaryota; Viridiplantae; Streptophyta; Magnoliopsida; Arecales; Arecaceae.